This 253-nucleotide ribosomal RNA is filed under the name uncultured bacterium. RNAcentral describes it as "partial 16S ribosomal RNA". It matches the Rfam family "Bacterial small subunit ribosomal RNA", at positions 524 to 776 of the family's 1533-position model. The record is from RNAcentral.
UACGGAGGGGGCUAGCGUUGUUCGGAAUUACUGGGCGUAAAGCGCAUGUAGGCGGCAAUGCAAGUCGGGCGUGAAAUCCCACGGCUCAACCGUGGAAGUGCACUCGAAACUGCAUAGCUAGAGUCCUGGAGAGGAAGGUGGAAUGCUUGGUGUAGAGGUGAAAUUCGUAGAUAUCAAGCGGAACACCGGUGGCGAAGGCGGCCUUCUGGACAGUGACUGACGCUGAGAUGCGAAAGCGUGGGGAGCAAACAGG